This 68-nucleotide transfer RNA is filed under the name Desmognathus marmoratus. RNAcentral describes it as "tRNA-Val". It matches the Rfam family "tRNA". Rfam says of the family: Transfer RNA (tRNA) molecules are approximately 80 nucleotides in length. Their secondary structure includes four short double-helical elements and three loops (D, anti-codon, and T loops). Further hydrogen bonds mediate the characteristic L-shaped molecular structure. tRNAs have two regions of fundamental functional importance: the anti-codon, which is responsible for specific mRNA codon recognition, and the 3' end, to which the tRNAs corresponding amino acid is attached (by aminoacyl-tRNA synthetases). tRNAs cope with the degeneracy of the genetic code in two manners: having more than one tRNA (with a specific anti-codon) for a particular amino acid; and 'wobble' base-pairing, i.e. permitting non-standard base-pairing at the 3rd anti-codon position. The record is from RNAcentral. Lineage: Eukaryota; Metazoa; Chordata; Amphibia; Caudata; Plethodontidae. RNAcentral also lists the same sequence under 1 other name.
AAGGGUAUAGCUUAAAUAAAGCAUUUUGCUUACACCAAAAAAAUAUUUGUUAAUCCAAAUUACCUUAA